GACGAACGCUGGCGGCGUGCUUAACACAUGCAAGUCGAGCGGAAAGGCCCUUCGGGGUACUCGAGCGGCGAACGGGUGAGUAACACGUGGGUAACCUGCCCCUUGCUCUGGGAUAACUCCGGGAAACCGGGGCUAAUACCGGAUACGACCACUUUAGGCAUCUUCGGUGGUGGAAAGUUUUUCGGCGAGGGAUGGACCCGCGGCCUAUCAGCUUGUUGGUGGGGUAAUGGCCUACCAAGGCAGUGACGGGUAGCCGGCCUGAGAGGGCGACCGGCCACACUGGGACUGAGACACGGCCCAGACUCCUACGGGAGGCAGCAGUGGGGAAUAUUGGGUCAAUGGACGAAAGUCUGAACCAGCCAUGCCGCGUGGAGGAUGAAGGUCCUCUGGAUUGUAAACUUCUUUAUAGGGACGAAAAAGGAAAUUCUUUUCCGUCUGACGGUACCCUAUGAAUAAGCACCGGCUAACUCCGUGCCAGCAGCCGCGGUAAC
Molecule: ribosomal RNA, 491 nt
Filed under: uncultured bacterium
Lineage: Bacteria
Description: bacterial SSU rRNA
Rfam family: Bacterial small subunit ribosomal RNA
Source: RNAcentral